UCUUCCGCAAUGGACGAAAGUCUGACGGAGCAACGCCGCGUGAGUGAUGAAGGUUUUCGGAUCUUAAAACUCUGUUGUUAGGGAAGAANNAGUACCGUUCGAAUAGGGCGGCACCUUGACGGUAACUAACCAGAAAGCCACGGCUAACUACGGUCCAGCAGCCGCGGUAAUACGUAGGUGGCAAGCGUUUUCCGGAAUUAUUGGGCGUAAAACGCGCGCAGGCGGUUUCUUAAGUCUGAUGUGAAAGCCCCCGGCUCAGCCGGGGAGGGUCAUUGGAAACUGGGGAACUUGAGUGCAGAAGAGGAGAGUGGAAUUCCACGUGUAGCGGUGAAAUGCGUAGAGAUGUGGAGGAACACCAGUGGCGAAGGCGACUCUCUGGUCUGUAACUGACGCUGAGGCGCGAAAGCGUGGGGAGCGAACAG
This 422-nucleotide ribosomal RNA is filed under the name uncultured bacterium. RNAcentral's name for it is "bacterial SSU rRNA". It matches the Rfam family "Bacterial small subunit ribosomal RNA", at positions 362 to 775 of the family's 1533-position model. The record is from RNAcentral.